Molecule: ribosomal RNA, 263 nt
Filed under: Comamonas aquatica
Lineage: Bacteria; Pseudomonadati; Pseudomonadota; Betaproteobacteria; Burkholderiales; Comamonadaceae
Description: partial 16S ribosomal RNA
Rfam family: Bacterial small subunit ribosomal RNA
Source: RNAcentral
UCAGAUUGAACGCCGGCGGCAUGCCUUACACAUGCAAGUCGAACGGUAACAGGUCUUUGGAUGCUGACGAGUGGCGAACGGGUGAGUAAUACAUCGGAACGUGCCUAGUAGUGGGGGAUAACUACUCGAAAGAGUGGCUAAUACCGCAUGAGAUCUCCGGAUGAAAGCAGGGGAUCGUAAGACUUAACUAUUAGAGCGGCCGAUGGCAGAUUAGGUAGAACUUCACAGCUUACCAAGCCGACGAUCUGUAGCUGGUCUGAGAG